Molecule: non-coding RNA, 218 nt
Organism: Pelobates cultripes (western spadefoot toad)
Lineage: Eukaryota; Metazoa; Chordata; Amphibia; Anura; Pelobatidae
Source: the annotation of a GenBank genome assembly
GUAUGAUAUUGUUUUGCUAUUUUAUACACUUUUCAAACUCGUUGAAAAGCAGGUCUGCCCUGCUUUAUCAAUGCCUACUAGUGGUAAAUAACAACACUUAUGUGAACGGAUUUGAUUCUCUUGGUCAUAGUUCAAUACACCGUUCGAUACACAUUUUUCCACAACUCUAGCCUGUUUUUUACUCCACACAAUGUUUAUAGUGAGGGAAAGAAGUAUUU